Taeniopygia guttata (zebra finch) is the source of this 325-nucleotide long non-coding RNA. RefSeq lists it as uncharacterized. Lineage: Eukaryota; Metazoa; Chordata; Aves; Passeriformes; Estrildidae. The record is from RefSeq and is a predicted model, not a curated record.
AGGGCAUGAACCAGUGUGGGCAUCAUCACUGUUUAAAAUGGAUCCCAGAGUAAGAGCUGAGAAGCCUAAAAUUAUGGAAGGGGUAUAAUGGGAGAAGAAGGGACCAUCACUACAUGCAGACAUGGGAAUAUGAUGGCAGACAAGAGAGCAGAGAAGUAUCAAAUCCAUGAAGAAUGUUAAGAUGGAAGACUUGGACCUCAGAGGAAAAGGACCUACCUAGAACAGUCCAUGUUAGGAACAACCAAAGUCUGAAAGUCUUUUGAAGAAUAAUAUUUUAUUCUUUAAACUGUACACAUUAGCUCCUUGGGUUAUUAUUAAAUACCAA